Molecule: long non-coding RNA, 1244 nt
Organism: Haplochromis burtoni (Burton's mouthbrooder)
Lineage: Eukaryota; Metazoa; Chordata; Actinopteri; Cichliformes; Cichlidae
Exons: 4
Source: RefSeq, a predicted model, not a curated record
UCACCUGCAAAAAUUCACCUGAAAAAAAUUCACCUGCAAAAAUUCACCUGAAAAAAAUUCACCUGCAAAAAUUCGCCUGCAAAAAUUCAACUGCAAAAGUGAUGAACUUUAAUGACCCAAGCCAGAGCAAUCAGCACCAGAUCGAGUCGAGUGGCUCUCAGCCAAUUAAAUUACGCUGUUUGAUCACAUGACACCGUUAGCCAGCAGUGUGUCUCCUAAAAGAGAGCUGUUUAAAGGAAAACGUUUGACUAACUCAAAGACAAUUUCCACGCCUCCCUGCCUGUCUGCAGAGGCAGUUUUGAAUUUAGGAGCGCCAAGAUGGCAGCGGCAAACCCUGGCGGCUCUCCGAUUAUGCAAGAUGAAAUUAUUCAGUCAGCAAGACACUUGCUGCAGUUGCUGACAUCAUCCAACUGAACUGCUGCUGUGAUGAAUCAGAAUACAAGAGAACAGAGUCAAGGUACCAGCUUGGUCAACCCUAAAAGACCAUCUGUUCAAUGACCAGGUGAAAAAGUCAUAAACUAAACACUCUGCAUGAGCAUGGAAUUUAGGAUGCAACUUUAUAUCUUACCUGCUCUACACUCAGGGCUUGAAUUACAACAACAGUCAAUCACAUAAAAAAUAUACUUUUGGUAGUUCUGUGUCUCUGUCUCUCUCCUCCAAACCCAGAUGGCUGCUGGUACUGAACCGGGUUCUGGUUCUGCUGGAGGUUUCUUCUUGUUAAAGGGGAGUUUUUCCUCUGCACUGUCACUUCAUGCUGCUCAGUGUGAGGGAUUGUUGAGGUUGAGUCCAUAUGUCCUGCGAACAACUGCUGGGCAAUGACACCAUGCAAUCUUCUGGGAUUCCUUGGAUAGAAAACCUGUGAACUGCACUUGUCCUUGGUCUUCACAGCUCACCUUUUUACUGUUUAUUGAAUCAAAAUGCUCCAGUGACAUGGAUUCUACAUUGUAACUGAUGUGAUGUUCUAUAAAGUGGUUUUAAUAAAAAAGGCAAAAAUUAGUUUGUUUCUUUAUUCAAUUUUUGAACAGUGAUACUCAUUCAGUAAAUGCAAAUUAUUUACAUGGCAGUGCACUAUAGGCAUAAAUCUAGACCCCUAGAUAAAACAUGAUGGCAUUAUAGCAGUGACAACUCCUCCACAGUAGCAGGUGGGAUUUCUUUUUUGAGGACGGCUCCUUUUACCUGUCACUACAGAUGGUCUGUUUAUGUUUUGAUCAAGAGCCUUUUUUUGGGCAGCUGAAGAGGAGAAG